This 45-nucleotide non-coding RNA is filed under the name Schistosoma margrebowiei. Lineage: Eukaryota; Metazoa; Platyhelminthes; Trematoda; Strigeidida; Schistosomatidae. The record is from RNAcentral.
AUUCAGCUGACGAGUCCCAAAUAAGAUGAAACGCAUGUUUUGGAU